GAAACAUGACGAACAAAUAAAAGCUGCUAACUUUUUAUUUAAAUGGUUUAACUCCAUUUAUGUUUCU
RNAcentral lists this transfer RNA (67 nucleotides) under Trypetoptera punctulata. RNAcentral's name for it is "tRNA-Ser". Lineage: Eukaryota; Metazoa; Arthropoda; Insecta; Diptera; Sciomyzidae. The record is from RNAcentral.